UACGGGGGGGGCAAGCGUUGUUCGGAAUUACUGGGCGUAAAGGGCUCGUAGGUGGCCAACUAAGUCAGACGUGAAAUCCCCAGGCUCAACUUGGGAACUGCGUCUGAUACUGGAUGGCUUGAAUUCGGGAGAGGGAUGCAGAAUUCCAGGUGUAGCGGUGAAAUGCGUAGAUAUCUGGAGGAACACCGGUGGCGAAGGCGACGUCCUGGACCGGCAUUGACGCUGAGGCGCGAAAGCCAGGGGAGCAAACGGG
This 253-nucleotide ribosomal RNA is filed under the name uncultured bacterium. RNAcentral's name for it is "partial 16S ribosomal RNA". It matches the Rfam family "Bacterial small subunit ribosomal RNA", at positions 524 to 776 of the family's 1533-position model. The record is from RNAcentral.